UCUAAGAUAGAUUAUACUAAAAAAUUUGUAUGCAGUGUCAUAGGGAAAGCUGCUGGAGACCUGGAGUAAUCUAGUGUUAAUCUUCACUAGAUUAUUGGAAAAUUUGUGGAGUUCUAUAGUCGCGUAGUGGAGUUCUAAUGUCGGGCACGAGUUCUAUUGUCGGGUGGCUAAAAUAGGUGUCCGUCCGGACACUCCGGAGUGUCAUCAGGGACCAAAUUUGGCCAUUAUGUUACUUGACGCAGCCGAAAUGGGAUGCCGAUCGUGACGUUUCCCAAAAUGAAAAGGUGAUUGCUCAUACCACUUUGCCAUCGGAAUUGAAAAUGCCUGUACAUUUGCCGAAAUGUCGUGCCUCGUGCCUCCUGUACCCAGUCGUACGUCUCGUCUCAUGCAACAGCAAAACUCUUACAACCACGCUUCUUGCUGCAGCCAGAUGGUGAAAGGUGUGAUGAAGACAACUUCAACCAUUGUUUGCAGGAUGUGGUGCCAGUGUUAUCCAGAAGUAGCUGUGCUGGAGUUAUCCUGAAGCAGCUGUGCCAGAAUUUUUCCGAAUUGCUGACUUGAAAAUUUUAACUGUUUCUGCUUCUGCUUAUGCGGUAUCCCGUGUUGCUGACUUUAAAUAUUUUUAUCCGCUUUUAUUUGUGGUUUUGCUCUGCCAGUGAGUUGCUUACUUGAAUUGGUUUCAUCUGUCGUCUUUUGCGUUUUUACUUGUGCAGUAUGAUUGUGGCAAUCUGACCCUAUGUUAGAUUUGACAUAGUCGACAACUGCUAGAUUAAACUCCGGCUUU
Molecule: long non-coding RNA, 784 nt
Filed under: Daphnia pulicaria
Lineage: Eukaryota; Metazoa; Arthropoda; Branchiopoda; Diplostraca; Daphniidae
Description: uncharacterized LOC124343383, transcript variant X1
Source: RNAcentral